UACGUAGGGUGCGAGCGUUGUCCGGAAUUAUUGGGCGUAAAGAGCUCGUAGGCGGCUUGUCGCGUCGGAUGUGAAAGCCCGGGGCUUAACUCCGGGUCUGCAUUCGAUACGGGCAGGCUAGAGUUCGGUAGGGGAGAACGGAAUUCCUGGUGUAGCGGUGAAAUGCGCAGAUAUCAGGAGGAACACCGGUGGCGAAGGCGGAUCUCUGGGCCGAUACUGACGCUGAGGAGCGAAAGCGUGGGGAGCGAACAGG
Molecule: ribosomal RNA, 253 nt
Filed under: uncultured bacterium
Lineage: Bacteria
Description: partial 16S ribosomal RNA
Rfam family: Bacterial small subunit ribosomal RNA
Source: RNAcentral